Molecule: ribosomal RNA, 413 nt
Filed under: uncultured bacterium
Lineage: Bacteria
Description: bacterial SSU rRNA
Rfam family: Bacterial small subunit ribosomal RNA
Source: RNAcentral
CAGUGGGGAAUAUUGCACAAUGGGGGAAACCCUGAUGCAGCAACGCCGCGUGAGUGAUGAAGGUCUUCGGAUUGUAAAACUCUGUCUUUGGGGACGAUAAUGACGGUACCCAAGGAGGAAGCCACGGCUAACUACGUGCCAGCAGCCGCGGUAAUACGUAGGUGGCAAGCGUUGUCCGGAUUUACUGGGCGUAAAGGGAGCGUAGGUGGAUAUUUAAGUGGGAUGUGAAAUACUCGGGCUUAACCUGAGUGCUGCAUUCCAAACUGGAUAUCUAGAGUGCAGGAGAGGAAAGUAGAAUUCCUAGUGUAGCGGUGAAAUGCGUAGAGAUUAGGAAGAAUACCAGUGGCGAAGGCGACUUUCUGGACUGUAACUGACACUGAGGCUCGAAAGCGUGGGGAGCAAACAGGAUUAGA